UUCAUUACAUUUUAGUCCCUCGACACCAUAAUCGAUGGUGGCGUAUUCUAUUAGUUUGAUUCAAACUAUCAUUGGUAUGUCUCCUCCUUCCGGGCAUAAACAUCCAGGGAUAAAUUCAUCUACAGGGUCAAGAAUAGAUGCUGGAUUGAUGCGUAUUCAGAACUUGGAACCAAGAAAUAAAAUCCACAGUUGCGGAGUAAUGCAUUAUGGGCAGAAAUAGAGAAGUAGCUAUAAUUAUUAAAAACGCCAAGAGCCUUAAUUAAAUGAUUCUGCAUGGUACUGGUACAAAAGAUGAUCCCAAAAAAGAUAAAACAUAGCCAAGCCAUUCUAAUACAAACAUCAGACCAUUAUUCCAUAUGAUGGGCAUUAUGCAACUGGCAAAGACAGUUAUACUUAGAUGCAAUAAUUAGAUGGAUGAUUCAGUUGUAGGAACAAUUAGAGAGAAGCAGUAUAGCAUCAUGGAGAUUCGGUUGUAGGAACAAAUCUGAUGGGAGGGAUAAACCUACAUCUUCGUUCCUAUCUUAGCAUCUUACAGCUACAAUCAGCAGUGCAUGAAUAGGACAUUUUCCAUGGAUUUGAAUAAGUAUUUUUGAAAUGGGUAAACUACAGAGUACUCGCUACUAUGCAAAGGGCAAAGGGAAAUAAACAGUGUUCUAACCAUCUGAUUUCUUCGUUCGAAAUGCCCUUCUUCCUUGAAUUCCAAGCAGGUUGCAUCUCACCAGUCCAUUGGAAAUGAAGGAAAACAUUAUAAGGAAACUGCUGAGAAAAGUGGUCCUCACAGAAGUAUUAAGUACAAUUCUCAUUAGUGUUCAGUUUAUAAUAGAGAUAGUGUUACCAUUUCGUAAGGAAUCAUGCGUUAAUAAAAAUAGUGUGAGAAACUUACAAAUAGGACCAAGACCAACAUCAACCUUUCCCUCCACCAUGAAUACCUUAACGACUGUCCUCAAGUUCAUCAUAAGCAAAUAGUCACAUAUACACACAUGAAGCCUGCACCACCACAACCAGGAUUAACCCAAAAUCAUCUACUAAUU
Molecule: long non-coding RNA, 1031 nt
Filed under: Triticum aestivum (bread wheat)
Lineage: Eukaryota; Viridiplantae; Streptophyta; Magnoliopsida; Poales; Poaceae
Description: long non-coding RNA (TAES_LNC027646)
Source: RNAcentral